CUGCACUUGGUUGUGUGGUUGGUACCCAGGGUGAUUACGUUGAGGAAAUCAGAGUGCUUCCAGCAAGUGAAUGUAUUGCAUACAAAAGCACGGAAUAAUGAUAAAGCUCAUUGUUAUGCUUGUUGGUUUCGUAACGGGGAUAAGGAUUGAUGGGGAUGGUUGGGGGCAUUUGUAUUUAACUGUCAGAGGUGAAAUUCUUGGAUUUGUUAAAGACAAACUAAUGCGAAUGCAUUUGCCAAGGAUGUCUUCUUUAAUCAAGAACGAAAGUUAGGGGAUCGAAGACGAUUAGAUACCGUCCUAGUCUUAACCAUAAACUAUGCUACCAAGAAAUUGGAGGCGGUUGCCUGUUGAUUCCUUCGGCAUUUUUUGAGAAAUCAAAGUCUUUGAGUUCCAGGGGGAGUAUGGUCGCAAGACUGAAACUUAA
Molecule: ribosomal RNA, 424 nt
Filed under: uncultured dinoflagellate
Lineage: Eukaryota; Dinophyceae
Description: bacterial SSU rRNA
Rfam family: Eukaryotic small subunit ribosomal RNA
Source: RNAcentral